AACGAACGUUAGCGGCGCGCCUAACACAUGCAAGUCGAGCGAGAAAGGACUUCGGCCCCGGUAAAGCGGCGCACGGGUGAGUAACACGUGGAUAACCUACCCCUUGGUGGUGGAUAACCUUCCGAAAGGAGGGCUAAUACAGCGUAAGACCACGACUUCGAAAGAGGUUGAGGUAAAAGUGGGCCUCUGUACACAAGCUCACGCCAGGGGAUGGGUCCGCGGCCCAUCAGCUAGUUGGUAGGGUAACGGCCUACCAAGGCGAAGACGGGUAGCUGGUCUGAGGAGAUGAUCAGCCACACUGGAACUGAGACACGGUCCAGACUCCUACGGGAGGCAACAGUGGGAGUAUUGGACAAUGGGGGCGAACCCUCGAUCCAGCAAUGCCGCGUGGGUGAUGAAGGCCUCGGUUGUAAGA
This 415-nucleotide ribosomal RNA is filed under the name uncultured bacterium. Its description in RNAcentral is "bacterial SSU rRNA". It matches the Rfam family "Bacterial small subunit ribosomal RNA", at positions 29 to 430 of the family's 1533-position model. The record is from RNAcentral.